This 252-nucleotide ribosomal RNA is filed under the name uncultured Bacteroidales bacterium. RNAcentral's name for it is "partial 16S ribosomal RNA". It matches the Rfam family "Bacterial small subunit ribosomal RNA", at positions 524 to 776 of the family's 1533-position model. Lineage: Bacteria; Pseudomonadati; Bacteroidota; Bacteroidia; Bacteroidales. The record is from RNAcentral.
UACGUAGGUGGCGAGCGUUAUCCGGAAUGAUUGGGCGUAAAGGGUGCGUAGGCGGACGCUUAAGUCAGCGGUAAAAUUGCGGGGCUCAACCUCGUCGAGCCGUUGAAACUGGGUGCCUUGAGUGGGCGAGAAGUAUGCGGAAUGCGUGGUGUAGCGGUGAAAUGCAUAGAUAUCACGCAGAACUCCGAUUGCGAAGGCAGCAUACCGGCGCCCAACUGACGCUGAAGCACGAAAGCGUGGGUAUCGAACAGG